UGCCACUUCUGAGAAUGAAAAGCAACCGCUCCAGACUUGUCCUGUGCAUCACUGCCAUUCCAAAGCCUCCGACGUCACAGUGGUGUUUCCAGUAAGUGAUCUCACUGGAAUGAGUCUGGUGAGACAGACCUGUACUUGGGAAAGAGGCUUUUCUUCCUGCAGAAUUUCAGCAUCACCAUCAAGAGUGCGAGUAAAUCCCCCACACUUGACAGCCCCAGUUUCAGAAAUCAAGAGAGUCUGA
Molecule: long non-coding RNA, 241 nt
Filed under: Fukomys damarensis (Damara mole-rat)
Lineage: Eukaryota; Metazoa; Chordata; Mammalia; Rodentia; Bathyergidae
Description: lncRNA (ENSFDAG00000025488.1)
Source: RNAcentral